GCCGCCCAUUGUGACUCGCUUGUGGGCGUGCUGGCAGCAUGUUCGAUUGUGCGUCAAGAAUUCAGCAUAGCAAGUUUGUAUGAAGGUCUAGUUAUUAAUUAGUACAUAGUUCAAUAGUAAUAUCCUCGAAAACGCUCUGGUGACAAACAAACUUUGCUGCCCUGUUUCCAAUUGUCCACAUGGCUGGGAUAACCUAUUCAAGUAGCCAGCUAACAGCCAUGGAGGAGGGUGAUAGGAUAGCAGCCCCAACUAUAAAGAGGGCUAUGAAAGCAUGUCUACAUAUGAAGUGCAGUGGUUCUCAGUCCUGGUCCUGAGGACUCAAAGGGGUGCACAUUGUUGUUUUUGCCUUAACACUGCGCAGCUGAUUCAAACGAUCAACUUAUCAUCAAGCUUCAAGUGGUAUUUCUGUAUUCAUUUGUGAUGCUAUCCUUGAUAUGAUCCUGUUAUUGUCACAUGCACAUGUGCCCAUGUAUCUAUCAAUCCAAUCUUAUCAUAAUUUAUUAGGGAUAUUAUACUUUUGUAAUCCACAAUGACCUGGUGAUGUAAAAGUCUAAUUACAUUGUCUUCCAUAUUCCUACAGAUACCUUGUAACUGGAGAUUUUUUCAAAAUGAGUGCCUACAGUUAAGGUGUAGGGUACUGCAAGGUUGGGUGACCAGGAGGGCCAUCUGGUACUGCCUCCUGGAGGAAUUCAGGUGUGUGAAGACUACCUGUGUCCUGCAUAACUUCAUGAGGAUGGACACGAGGACCAGGAGGGGAUCUGCAGCUCGCUGCCAUCUGCCAGAGGAGAAGUCUGCUGCUCUGCAGGAUGUUUCAAGGAUGGGGUCCAACAAUGCAGCAAGAGGCAAUCCUUGUGCGGGAGAUCUUCACCUCCUACUUCUUCAAAGAGGGUGCUGUUCCCUGGCAAUACCAUAGACUACACGAUGCACAAAGGUUCUUAAGAGUCAUUCACAUUGCAAUAAGAAUAUUCUUCCAUUUACUAUUCUUCCAUGUCAACUGCAGUUAUUCAAUUCCCCAGUUUCUCUCCCUUUGAUUUCUACUUCUCAGGUGAGGGUGCUGUUAAGGUAAGGGUGUGAUGUCUGUACAAAAACAGGCUAUUUUAAAUCACCCAUAUUGAAAGACACCCUAUAACCCACACACUCGUAUCAAUCUGAUUAAUGGAUUGUGUUGUGCAGUAAGCAGGCUCAGGUGUAUAACUGUGGCUCCUUGCACCUCCAAAAAUAGGCAAGAGGGCCAACCAUGGAGAACAGUAAGACACUUCAUUAUUUCUAUAACUACACUAUAUUGUUUGUUUUUCAGCAAACGUACUCUGCAGCCACUUAGUGUGGUGUGGACACCAGGUGAGGCCACACACACAGAUUCCUGUUGAACACUGUCUUUAACUACCUUAAUUUCUCAAUAAGUCUCUCUCCUUCACUUCAUCCCUCUCUCAUCUUCUCCCUAAAUCCUCUAGGUUAUCAGCUGUGUCGGUGAACCCCUCCCUCAUCUGAACUGGCUACAUGGAGGGCACAGCAUGAUCAGAGAUGAGGUCACUUAGUCAGGUCAACAGGAAGUAUUAUUAAAGAGAUGCUUAAUGUUGAAAUACAGAUAUAGAUGCAGUAGUCCCAGAGUUAAUGAUCCAAGGUCAGUUUUGCAUUUCACCUCCUGAUUAUUAUGACUAACAAGGUUAGAAUAAAAAAUUAAAACAAGGCUUAAACAUGCUAUCUGUCUCUAGUCUGCAGAUAUGUUUUGACGUGGGAGAUGCCAACCCCCAGUCCCAUCAUUGCCACCUCACCCGCUUUUAAGAUAACCUUCGGACUGUCUAGUUUCACUACUAUGUAAUUGUGAUGAACUGAGAGAAUAUUUGGGUUGCACUGUGAUUCAUUAAUCAUAUGCUGCCUUCCCUGCCCCUAUGCCUUACCUCUUUCCCUUUCUGUCUUUUACACCUCUCACCACCUCUCUUCCUGUUUUUAUAAUGCACAACAGAUGUGCAUUGAAGUACAGAUUGAACUUUUAUUUAUAAUAUGACAAUUAUAUUUAUAAUGCAUGUAUUUAUAACACUUGGAUAAUUAACUUCUUUCAAUAAAGUGUUUCACAUUC
Molecule: non-coding RNA, 2077 nt
Organism: Oncorhynchus mykiss (rainbow trout)
Lineage: Eukaryota; Metazoa; Chordata; Actinopteri; Salmoniformes; Salmonidae
Source: RefSeq, a predicted model, not a curated record